AUACGGAGGAUCCAAGCGUUAUCCGGAAUUAUUGGGCGUAAAGAGUGAGCAGGCGGUUAAUUAAGUCUGAGGUUAAAGCGUGGGGCUCAACCCCAUAAAGCCUUGGAAACUGAUUGACUAGAGUACGGGAGAAGCGAAGGGAACUCCAUGUGUAGAGGUGAAAUGCGUAGAUAUAUGGAAGAACACCAGUGGCGAAGGUGCUUCACUAGCCCGAAACUGACGCUCAGUCACGAAAGCGUGGGUAGCAAAUAGGAUUAGAUACCCUAGUAGUCCACGCUGUAAACGAUGACAACUAAAUAUUGCCGCGAGGCAGUGUUGAAGCUAACGCAUUAAGUUGUCCGCCUGGGGAGUACGGUCGCAAGACUGAAACUUAAAGGAAUUGACGGGG
This 388-nucleotide ribosomal RNA is filed under the name uncultured bacterium. RNAcentral's name for it is "partial 16S ribosomal RNA". It matches the Rfam family "Bacterial small subunit ribosomal RNA", at positions 523 to 918 of the family's 1533-position model. The record is from RNAcentral.